AUUGAACGCUGGCGGCAGGCCUAACACAUGCCAGUCGAGCGGAUGAAGGGAGCUUGCUCCUGGAUUCAGCGGCGGACGGGUGAGUAAUUCCUAGGAAUCUGCCUGGUAGUGGGGUAUAACGUCCGGAAACGGGCGCUAAUACCGCAUACGUCCUGAUGGAGAAAGUUGGGGAUCUUCGGACCUCACGCUAUCAGAUGAGCCUAGGUCGGAUUAGCUAGUUGGUGGGGUAAAGGCCUACCAAGGCGACGAUCCGUAACUGGUCUGAGAGGAUGAUCAGUAAAACUGGAACUGAGACACGGUCCAGACUACUACGGGAGGAAGCAGUGGGGAAUAUUGGACAAUGGGCGAAAGCAUGAUACAGCCAUGCCGCGUGUGUGAAGAAGGUCUUCGGAUUGUAAAGAACUUUAAGUUGGGAGGAAGGGCAGUAAGUUAAUACCUUGCUGUAUUGACGUUACCAACAGAAUAAGCACCGGCUAACUUCGUG
This 484-nucleotide ribosomal RNA is filed under the name uncultured bacterium. RNAcentral's name for it is "partial 16S ribosomal RNA". It matches the Rfam family "Bacterial small subunit ribosomal RNA", at positions 30 to 507 of the family's 1533-position model. The record is from RNAcentral.